Molecule: unclassified non-coding RNA, 168 nt
Filed under: uncultured Sordariales
Lineage: Eukaryota; Fungi; Ascomycota; Sordariomycetes; Sordariales
Description: sequence contains ITS2
Source: RNAcentral
CAACCAUUCAGGCCCUUAGGGCCUGGCGUUGGGGCAUCUACGACCUGAAACCGUAGGCCCUGAAAGACAGUGGCGGCAUCCGCUAGCACUCCGGACGCAGUAGAUUUCCUUCUCGUUCAGGACGUCUUGCGGGCUGCCGGCCGUAAAACAGCCCCAAAAAUUACAAGG